This 75-nucleotide transfer RNA is filed under the name Nitrospinae bacterium RIFCSPLOWO2_12_FULL_45_22. RNAcentral's name for it is "tRNA-Pro". It matches the Rfam family "tRNA". From Rfam's summary of the family: Transfer RNA (tRNA) molecules are approximately 80 nucleotides in length. The record is from RNAcentral. Lineage: Bacteria; Pseudomonadati; Nitrospinota.
CGGGACGUAGCGCAGCCUGGUUAGCGCACCUGCUUCGGGAGCAGGGGGUCGGAGGUUCAAAUCCUCUCGUCCCGA